Molecule: ribosomal RNA, 795 nt
Filed under: uncultured archaeon
Lineage: Archaea
Description: bacterial SSU rRNA
Rfam family: Archaeal small subunit ribosomal RNA
Source: RNAcentral
CGAGAGUNUUCGGGACUCGGCAGACGGCUCAGUAACACGCGGAUANUCUGCCCNUNGGGUGGGGAAUAAUCUCGGGAAACUGAGCAUAAUACCCCAUAGGCNNGAGAUGCUGGAACGCCCUCAGGCAAAAAGNUCCGGCGCCCAAGGAUGAGUCUGCGGCCUAUCAGCUUGUAGUUGGUGUAAAUGACCAACUAGGCGACGACGGGUACGGGCAUUGGGAGAUGUAGCCCGGAGAUGGACUCUGAGACACGAGUCCAGGCCCUACGGGGCGCAGCAGUCGCGAAAACUUCACAAUGUGGGAAACCGCGAUGAGGGGAUUCCAAGUGCUUGCGUUUUGCGUAAGCUGUUCUCCUGCCUAAAAAACAGAGAGAGUAAGAGCUGGGUAAGACGGGUGCCAGCCGCCGCGGUAAUACCUGCAGCUCAAGUGGUGGCCGCUAUUAUUGGGCCUAAAACGUCCGUAGCCGGUUUAGUAAAUGCUUGGGUAAAUUGUGUAGCUCAACUAUACGAAUACCGAGUAGACUGCUGAACUUGGGGCCGGGAGAGGCUAGAGGUACUCCUAGGGUAGAGGUGAAAUUCUGUAAUCCUAGGGGGACCACCAGUGGCGAAGGCGUCUAGCUAGAACGGGUCUGACGGUGAGGGACGAAGCCCUGGGGCGCAAACCGGAUUAGAUACCCGGGUAGUCCAGGGUGUAAACGCUGCUCGCUUGAUGUUAGUUGGGCUCCGAGCCCAACUAGUGUCGGAGAGAAGUUGUUAAGCGAGCUGCCUGGGAAGUACGGUCGCAAGGCUGAAACUUAA